RNAcentral lists this long non-coding RNA (466 nucleotides) under Nicotiana benthamiana. RNAcentral's name for it is "long non-coding RNA (NBEN_LNC010575)". Lineage: Eukaryota; Viridiplantae; Streptophyta; Magnoliopsida; Solanales; Solanaceae. The record is from RNAcentral.
CUAUUCCUCAUACCCAACUAUUCCAUAUAACGCCGGUGUAAUGCCGCCUUCUAUCCUCUGUGCCUCCACCACCCACCGCCGGCUGGAAAUCGCUGUCGGCGGCGGCGGAGCUCCAAACGACCCCAAAAGUUCGCCACCAACUCUCCUUCAUCUCCUCUUUCCAACCCCCUUAAUCUCUCCCCUCAAAUCACAACCGAUAGUCUCGAGUCUAAGAUGGAAAUUCUGGACCAAAACAUCGGCUCACCCAAAUCCGACCAAAUUUUCACCACUGCCUCACCUGCCUUCCCUUGUCAUGAAUCUCCACUUGGUUGCUGUCAAGCACCACCGGAACGUUUUGGUCUGUUAAUCUAGGGUUAUAAAUUGGAAUCUGGUUGGGAUCUCAGGCAUCGAGUGGUCUCUUAAUUGAUGCUAUAUGUUUCAUAAACAUAUAACAUUCAUUAAAAGACCAACCUCAAUAAACUUGGCC